RNAcentral lists this ribosomal RNA (481 nucleotides) under uncultured bacterium. RNAcentral's name for it is "partial 16S ribosomal RNA". It matches the Rfam family "Bacterial small subunit ribosomal RNA", at positions 28 to 507 of the family's 1533-position model. The record is from RNAcentral.
GAUGAACGCUGGCGGCGUGCCUAACACAUGCAAGUCGAGCGAAGCACUUACUUUAGAUUUCUUCGGAAUGACGAAGUUUGUGACUGAGCGGCGGACGGGUGAGUAACGCGUGGGCAACCUGCCCUGUACAGGGGGAUAACAGUUAGAAAUGACUGCUAAUACCGCAUAAGCCCACAGCUUCGCAUGAAGCAGUGGGAAAAACUCCGGUGGUACAGGAUGGGCCCGCGUCUGAUUAGCUAGUUGGUAAGGUAACGGCUUACCAAGGCGACGAUCAGUAGCCGACCUGAGAGGGUGACCGGCCACAUUGGGACUGAGACACGGCCCAAACUCCUACGGGAGGCAGCAGUGGGGAAUAUUGCACAAUGGGGGAAACCCUGAUGCAGCGACGCCGCGUGAGCGAUGAAGUAUUUCGGAAUGUAAAGCUCUAUCAGCAGGGAAGAAAGUGACGGUACCUGACUAAGAAGCCCCGGCUAACUACGUG